This 1307-nucleotide unclassified non-coding RNA is filed under the name Hevea brasiliensis (rubber tree). The record is from RNAcentral. Lineage: Eukaryota; Viridiplantae; Streptophyta; Magnoliopsida; Malpighiales; Euphorbiaceae.
UCUGUAUGUGCUGCAAUUGAGUAUAUGGAUCAAUUUGAUCAUGACAAUGAUUGUCUAAUUGAAAAUGAUGGUUUCCCUGAUCAAACAUAUGAUACAUGGACAGUUCAUGGAAUAAGUGCUUACUGUGGUGGUUUAUGGCUUGCUGCUCUUCAAGCUGCAGCUGCGAUGGCCAUGCACGUGGGCGACUAUGCCUUUGCAGAAAAAUGCAAAGGCAAAUUGAUAAAAGCCAAGACAGUAUAUGAGGAAAAAUUAUGGAAUGGCUCAUAUUUUAACUAUGACAGUGGUUCUAGUAGUAACAGUAAGUCAAUCCAGGCUGAUCAGCUAGCUGGUCAGUGGUAUAUGGCAUCUUCUGGCUUGCCUGAUCUCUUUGAUGCUGUAAAGAUCAAGAGUACUCUUCAAAAGAUUUACGACUUCAAUGUCAUGAAAGUUCGUGGAGGCAGAAUGGGUGCAGUAAAUGGAAUGCAUCCAAAUGGAAAGGUGGAUGAUACUUGCAUGCAAUCUCGUGAGAUAUGGACUGGUGUCACAUAUGGUGUGGCUGCCACCAUGCUUCAUGCUGGUAUGGAGGAACAGGCAUUCAAUACAGCUGAAGGCAUAUUCACCGCAGGCUGGUCAGAGGAUGGCUAUGGAUACUCAUUUCAAACACCCGAAGGUUGGACUACUGAUGGACAUUUUCGAUCUCUGAUAUAUAUGAGGCCUCUCUCAAUUUGGGGCAUGCAAUGGGCAUUAUCGAUGCCUAAGACAAUCCUUGAUGCCCCUAAGGUCAAUAUAAUGGACAGAAUUCAAGUGAAACCCCACACACCUCAGGAGACAGGUGUCCAGAAAAUAGUCAAAAAAGCAAAAUGUUUUAACAAUUCUAUCUUCAGCUGUUCUUGCUAAGAGUCAUUUCAGUUCAUAGGUUUUAACCUUUUGUAGAAAUUCAUUCCUUCCUUCCGCGUCUAGGGGAGACAGUGAAAAGUCGCUGUCUGGCUAAUGUCUUGACAAAAAGGGCUAUAAAGAGAUCUGCAGUACUUGACUUGACAGAGAUAUAAUGACGAAAGCUGGUAUGAUAAUCUGGUGGUUCUUUAUCGAUGAGUCUCAACUUUGUAAGUACACAUCUCUGAUGUGUAUGCGUGUAUAUUACAAGAUCCAUGUAAUAUCUGGGUGCAUUGGUAUACUAGUGAAACUAAGUUCUUUAUAAUUUUGAGCUGAAACGGUGCGAAAUGGACGUGGGGUUGAGACAGGUCCUCAAGUUUGGUGUAGUCAAUCUGCAAGAAAAUCAGUUUGUAUAGGAUGUUAUUAGUAUGGAACUGAAAUAUUUCUGUUCAUAG